ACAAAAUUGAAUCCUAUUCUGAACUGUUUGAGCUCUACCGAUUUGUUAAACGUGUUAGCUUCUUUUGAAUUGUAUGCUCUGGUUCACUCUAACUUUGUAGUGAAUCACUAUGUCGGUGGCGUUUGCACCUCACAGGCAGCGUGGAAAGGGUGAUAUAACACCCGCUGGAAUACAAAAGUUAUUAGACGAGAACAACCAGCUGAUCCAGUGUAUAAUGGACUUCCAGAGUAAAGGCAAAACAGCAGAAUGUUCACAAUAUCAACAGAUGCUCCACAGAAAUCUAGUGUACCUGGCCACGAUAGCAGACUCCAAUCAGAACAUGCAGUCUCUCCUCCCUGCUCCGCCCACUCAAAACAUGCCCAUGGGCCCUGGUGGGAUGAACCAAAGUGGACCCCCCACUCAGCCUCCUCAUGGUCACAAUAUGCCCUCUGAAGGAAUGGUCAGCGGUGGCCCUCCAGCCCCUCACAUGCAGAACCAGAUGAAUGGCCAGAUGCCUGGGCCCAAUCACAUGCCCAUGCAAGGUCCCGGUCCAGGCCCCAACCAGCCCCCAAACAUGCCCAGUGGCUCUAUGAAUAUGCCCCCCAGCAGCCAUGGCUCGAUGGGUGGUUACAACCACACUGUCCCUUCAUCCCAGGGCAUCCCAGCUCAGAGCCAAAUGAACAUGACCCAGGGCCAGCCCAUGGGAAACUACGGGCCCCGGCCUAACAUGAACAUGCAGCCCACUCAAGGUCCCAUGAUGCACCAGCAGCCUCCCGCUCAGCAGUAUAACAUGCCUCCUGGUGGCGGUGGACAGCACUACCAAGGACAACAGAACCCAAUGGGCAUGAUGGGACAGGUCAAUCAAGGGAACCAUGUCAUGGGGCAGAGGCCAAUGCCUCCCUACAGACCCCCACAGCAAGGACCCCCUCAGCAGUACCCAGGGCAGGAAGACUACUAUGGGGACCAGUACAGUCACGCAGGACAGGGAGCCUCAGAAGGUAAUGCCCAGUAUGGCCAACAGCAGGAAGCCUACCAGCAAGGCCCCCCCCAGCAGCAGGGCUACCCUCCCCAGCAGCAGUAUCCAGGGCAACAGGGCUACCCACCACAGCAGCAGGGUUACGGUCCGACCCAAAGUGCCCCAGGACAGUAUCCUAACUAUCCUCAGGGGCAGGGGCAGCAGUAUGGAGGCUACCGCCCUCCUCAACCUGGACCCCCACAGGGCCAGCAACAGCGCCCUUAUGGCUAUGACCAGGUGAGUAUUCCCACAACACCAGACAGUCACAGCGACUAGUUGCUCGAAGGCCGUAGUUCGUCCCGUAUUAUGUGUAUUUUAGACUUAGUCGUAUAUUUUGUGUAGCGAGACCAAUGUAAGUGUUAAAUAUUAAAGGUAGUUUGUUUUGCAUGCUCAUCAUAUUGUGGGGUUGAACCUGUUCUUCCCAACAGAGUUGUAUGUGUUACUUUUGUCUUUGCCUUGUUUAUUUGAGUCUUAGUUAUAUAUCUUGGCUAAUAAGGAAUGGCACUGCAGUGAAAUAUGAGGUCUUUAAGAGAAUUCUUCCUUAAACUUGAUGCAGACUGCUCCAGUGUUUAAAGGGAGAUCCAUUUGUUGCCCUGUAUUUCCUGUGGUCUUAUGUGGGGACCACAGCUAUACUUUGAUAUCUUUAUCUUUGAAUAUUCAGGGGCACAUGAGGAAAUAAAGACCCGGGGAUUUGAACCCCUGACUAGCUCUGUAAGAAGCAAAGGGCCAGUAUGGAAAUUACCAGCAAUGAGAGAUGGUCCCAGCAACCCACACCGCUCUGCUCUGAUCUGUCUGAGCUUUGACCUCUGGUCAACUGCAAAGCAGACUCAAAUGAUGGUUGUAGCUCGCUGAGAUUCUCUCUGACAUGAACAUACAACACUCAAAAAUACAAGAUACGUUUUCCCAUCUCUCUGCCUAUAAAAUGUAUUCUUUUUAUCAUGUACAUUGACUUGAUAAUGUCAAAGUCUGCGAUUCACCCUCCAGUCCAGUAUGUCUCACAGCAGCAAUGCCUUAAAAAAUGGAACUGCCUUAUCCUUUAGCAUUGCAGAUUGUGAAACGGACUGACAACAUUUUCGAUAUCAGAGACAAUUUAAAUGAACAGUUUCAAUCUACUGUGGUGCAUUGUUUCUCUAUCCUUAUCCUCGAUGUUUAUAAGAAGCAAUAAUGCCAGCAGUAGGGAACUGUGUGUGGGGGCUUGAAGAUGAAAUAAUGCACCAGAUGAACUUCCCGCUAGGCCAUGGUACGUGUCUUGAUGUAUGUGAUGAUGUAAAAAUAUAUUUUAUGCUUUUUAGAUCAAGCUAACUUUGUAUAAGACAUUGGGAACUAGUACUAAAGCUGUGUUGUUUAUUUCAUGAAGUGUAUGUGUCAAUGUUUUUUUAAUGAUGAUGCCAUCCAGCUCAUUUAGUUUUUUUUUAUGUUGAGUUGUAUUCCUAUUCAAUUGGAUCUGCUGCGUCAGUGACGUGUGCGCUGUAUGAAUUAUCUGUGUAAAAAUGAAACAUUAAAUGACUUGCACAGAAAAUCUGUGAAGGAAAAAUACAAACAUCAUCCCUGGAAUUAGAAAAUGAACAUAAACUUGGUGGAUUCUGUGUUAAGCUGUGUUUUUGAGUCUGAAAAAAGUCUAUAUCAAAUGUUGGUCAUGAACAGAAUAAUGGCAACAGGCCUUUAUUUGACAAUUGGGUGAAGAGGUGAAAUGUAGCAGAUGCCACUGCAAAUUGUAAGUCAAUGCUCUCUGAGCCUUUUUUCUUCAAAUCACCACAAAUAUUUCUGACAAUUUUGUUUUGUUAGUCUUGACAAUGCUGGAAUCCCUUUGAAUAAACGUCUAAGUUGAUGUCAUUCAAAUAGUGUUGUGUGUGAAUAAUAGAGAUUGUUACUGUCAAAUAUGUAACAUAAGAUGUGAAAAUAAUGUUCUCAAAUGGAUUCCUUAGUUUCACAGUAAAGACUGGUUGUGCAGUUUUAUAUCACUGGCUUGAUAUCUGUUUUAUGGUGCAUACUUUAUUGAUCCCAUAUGUACAGUGGUGUGAAGAAGAGGAAUUCACUGUCCUCCGAUAUUGUUUAUAUGGCUGUUUUAUUAUUUGGCAUUCUGCACCCCAUCCAAGUGGUCACAUUUGUGUCAUUGCAAUGUAUAACUGUACAUUACAAUAAAUUGGAAGAAUCUUUAA
Eleginops maclovinus (Patagonian blennie) is the source of this 3153-nucleotide RNA transcript. It is a transcript of the gene named SS18 subunit of BAF chromatin remodeling complex, with no coding region annotated. NCBI's taxonomy places the organism in Eukaryota, Metazoa, Chordata, Actinopteri, Perciformes, Eleginopidae. The transcript is spliced from 10 exons. The record is from RefSeq and is a predicted model, not a curated record.